Molecule: transfer RNA, 68 nt
Filed under: Chelurotropella siamensis
Lineage: Eukaryota; Metazoa; Arthropoda; Insecta; Hemiptera; Urostylididae
Description: tRNA-Ala
Source: RNAcentral
GGGAUAAUAGUUAAAAUAUAACAUUUAAAUUGCAAUUAAAAAUAAUUAACAUAAUUUAAUUUAUUUCA